GUGGUAUCCUGUCUGAAUAUGGGGGGACCAUCCUCCAAGGCUAAAUACUCCUGACUGACCGAUAGUGAACCAGUACCGUGAGGGAAAGGCGAAAAGAACCCCGGCGAGGGGAGUGAAAAAGAACCUGAAACCGUGUACGUACAAGCAGUGGGAGCACGCUUAGGCGUGUGACUGCGUACCUUUUGUAUAAUGGGUCAGCGACUUAUAUUCUGUAGCAAGGUUAACCGAAUAGGGGAGCCGAAGGGAAACCGAGUCUUAACUGGGCGUUAAGUUGCAGGGUAUAGACCCGAAACCCGGUGAUCUAGCCAUGGGCAGGUUGAAGGUUGGGUAACACUAACUGGAGGACCGAACCGACUAAUGUUGAAAAAUUAGCGGAUGACUUGUGGCUGGGGGUGAAAGGCCAAUCAAACCGGGAGAUAGCUGGUUCUCCCCGAAAGCUAUUUAGGUAGCGCCUCGUGAAUUCAUCUCCGGGGGUAGAGCACUGUUUCGGCAAGGGGGUCAUCCCGACUUACCAACCCGAUGCAAACUGCGAAUACCGGAGAAUGUUAUCACGGGAGACACACGGCGGGUGCUAACGUCCGUCGUGAAGAGGGAAACAACCCAGACCGCCAGCUAAGGUCCCAAAGUCAUGGUUAAGUGGGAAACGAUGUGGGAAGGCCCAGACAGCCAGGAUGUUGGCUUAGAAGCAGCCAUCAUUUAAAGAAAGCGUAAUAGCUCACUGGUCGAGUCGGCCUGCGCGGAAGAUGUAACGGGGCUAAACCAUGCACCGAAGCUGCGGCAGCGACGCUUAUGCGUUGUUGGGUAGGGGAGCGUUCUGUAAGCCUGUGAAGGUGUACUGUGAGGUAUGCUGGAGGUAUCAGAAGUGCGAAUGCUGACAUAAGUAACGAUAAAGCGGGUGAAAAGCCCGCUCGCCGGAAGACCAAGGGUUCCUGUCCAACGUUAAUCGGGGCAGGGUGAGUCGACCCCUAAGGCGAGGCCGAAAGGCGUAGUCGAUGGGAAACAGGUUAAUAUUCCUGUACUUGGUGUUACUGCGAAGGGGGGACGGAGAAGGCUAUGUUGGCCGGGCGACGGUUGUCCCGGUUUAAGCGUGUAGGCUGGUUUUCCAGGCAAAUCCGGAAAAUCAAGGCUGAGGCGUGAUGACGAGGCACUACGGUGCUGAAGCAACAAAUGCCCUGCUUCCAGGAAAAGCCUCUAAGCAUCAGGUAACAUCAAAUCGUACCCCAAACCGACACAGGUGGUCAGGUAGAGAAUACCAAGGCGCUUGAGAGAACUCGGGUGAAGGAACUAGGCAAAAUGGUGCCGUAACUUCGGGAGAAGGCACGCUGAUAUGUAGGUGAAGUCCCUCGCGGAUGGAGCUGAAAUCAGUCGAAGAUACCAGCUGGCUGCAACUGUUUAUUAAAAACACAGCACUGUGCAAACACGAAAGUGGACGUAUACGGUGUGACGCCUGCCCGGUGCCGGAAGGUUAAUUGAUGGGGUUAGCCGCAAGGCGAAGCUCUUGAUCGAAGCCCCGGUAAACGGCGGCCGUAACUAUAACGGUCCUAAGGUAGCGAAAUUCCUUGUCGGGUAAGUUCCGACCUGCACGAAUGGCGUAAUGAUGGCCAGGCUGUCUCCACCCGAGACUCAGUGAAAUUGAACUCGCUGUGAAGAUGCAGUGUACCCGCGGCAAGACGGAAAGACCCCGUGAACCUUUACUAUAGCUUGACACUGAACAUUGAGCCUUGAUG
Molecule: ribosomal RNA, 1727 nt
Filed under: Escherichia coli
Lineage: Bacteria; Pseudomonadati; Pseudomonadota; Gammaproteobacteria; Enterobacterales; Enterobacteriaceae
Description: partial 23S ribosomal RNA
Rfam family: Bacterial large subunit ribosomal RNA
Source: RNAcentral